GCGGCUGGGGCGCGAGAGUGCUCCCAGACGAUUAUGGGGUUCUCAGGGUAGAGGGAGGCGUCAAGCGCGAUGGAGACGCGCUUGAAGAAGGAAGAGAAUUUGGGGUACAUCGGGUUGGGUUUCGGCGGGGCAGUGGGGUCGGUGGUGUCAGGGCCAUCGUCGAGGAUGCGGCCGAUGAUUUUGAGGGACCAGGUCGGGGGGUCGGGCUUGGAGCCGCGGGGGAGGGACUGGUUGGCGAAGGUGUUGAAGACGUAAAUGCGGAGGGUGCGCUGGAGGGUUGGGGGGGCUUUGACUGACUCCUGGAU
RNAcentral lists this unclassified non-coding RNA (305 nucleotides) under Hevea brasiliensis (rubber tree). The record is from RNAcentral. Lineage: Eukaryota; Viridiplantae; Streptophyta; Magnoliopsida; Malpighiales; Euphorbiaceae.